GUGCCAGCCGCCGCGGUAAUACGUAGGUGGCAAGCGUUGUCCGGAAUUAUUGGGCGUAAAGCGCGCGCAGGCGGAUCAGUCAGUCUGUCUUAAAAGUUCGGGGCUUAACCCCGUGAUGGGAUGGAAACUGCUGAUCUAGAGUAUCGGAGAGGAAAGUGGAAUUCCUAGUGUAGCGGUGAAAUGCGUAGAUAUUAGGAAGAACACCAGUGGCGAAGGCGACUUUCUGGACGAAAACUGACGCUGAGGCGCGAAAGCCAGGGGAGCGAACGGGAUUAGAUACCCCGGUAGUCCUGGCCGUAAACGAUGGGUACUAGGUGUAGGAGGUAUCGACCCCUUCUGUGCCGGAGUUAACGCAAUAAGUACCCCGCCUGGGGAGUACGACCGCAAGGUUGAAACUCAAAGGAAUUGACG
This 411-nucleotide ribosomal RNA is filed under the name uncultured organism. Its description in RNAcentral is "SSU rRNA". It matches the Rfam family "Bacterial small subunit ribosomal RNA", at positions 505 to 915 of the family's 1533-position model. The record is from RNAcentral.